GUGUCAGCCGCCGCGGUAAUACGUAGGGUGCAAGCGUUAUCCGGAUUUACUGGGUUUAAAGGGUGUGUAGGCGGGCUUUUAAGUCUGGGGUGAAAUCUCCGAGCUCAACUCGGAAACUGCCUUGGAUACUAUUAGUCUUGAAUUAUGUUGAGGUUGGCGGAAUAUAACAUGUAGCGGUGAAAUGCAUAGAUAUGUUAUAGAACACCGAUUGCGAAGGCAGCUAACUAAGCAUAUAUUGACGCUGAGGCACGAAAGCGUGGGGAUCAAACAGGAUUAGAUACCCUAGUAGUCC
This 292-nucleotide ribosomal RNA is filed under the name uncultured bacterium. Its description in RNAcentral is "partial 16S ribosomal RNA". It matches the Rfam family "Bacterial small subunit ribosomal RNA", at positions 505 to 796 of the family's 1533-position model. The record is from RNAcentral.